RNAcentral lists this ribosomal RNA (401 nucleotides) under uncultured bacterium. RNAcentral's name for it is "bacterial SSU rRNA". It matches the Rfam family "Bacterial small subunit ribosomal RNA", at positions 917 to 1322 of the family's 1533-position model. The record is from RNAcentral.
GGGCCCGCACAAGCGGUGGAGCAUGUGGUUUAAUUCGAUGAUACGCGAGGAACCUUACCAAGGCUUAAAUGUAGAGGGACAGGCGGCGAAAGUUGCCCUUCUUCGGACUCUCUACAAGGUGCUGCAUGGUUGUCGUCAGCUCGUGCCGUGAGGUGUCGGGUUAAGUCCCAUAACGAGCGCAACCCCUAUCUUUAGUUGCCAGCGGUUCGGCCGGGGACUCUAAAGAAACUGCCCGCGCAAGCGGUGAGGAAGGUGGGGAUGACGUCAAAUCAUCACGGCCCUUACGUCUUGGGCUACACACGUGCUACAAUGGUAGUGACAAUGGGCAGCCACUCCGCGAGGAGGCGCAAAUCCACAAACACUAUCUCAGUUCGGAUCGGAGUCUGCAACUCGACUCCGUG